RNAcentral lists this ribosomal RNA (303 nucleotides) under Triticum aestivum (bread wheat). Its description in RNAcentral is "partial small subunit ribosomal RNA". Lineage: Eukaryota; Viridiplantae; Streptophyta; Magnoliopsida; Poales; Poaceae. The record is from RNAcentral.
AUGUCCCAGUUUAUGGCUAGAAGUUUACCACCAUUUUUUUUGCUUUUUCUCUUUGCUUUUUUGAUGAUUUGUUUUUCAAUUUUCAAUUUAUUUGCAUCCCUUUCUUUUUUUGUUAUUCUUUUUCCAUUUCUUUUUUUAUUUUUAUUUUUUCAUUGUUUUACAAAAUUUGUGAUUUAUCUUGUUUUUAUUUUUUAUUUUUAUUUUAAAUACCUCUAUUUUCAUUUUUCUAGAUUUGCUAAUUCCCAUCUAGAUUGUCUUUUCUUUUUCUAUUUCUUUUCAUAUUUUUAUAUUUAUUUAAAAUAG